This 253-nucleotide ribosomal RNA is filed under the name Fusicatenibacter saccharivorans. Its description in RNAcentral is "partial 16S ribosomal RNA". It matches the Rfam family "Bacterial small subunit ribosomal RNA", at positions 524 to 776 of the family's 1533-position model. Lineage: Bacteria; Bacillati; Bacillota; Clostridia; Lachnospirales; Lachnospiraceae. The record is from RNAcentral.
UACGUAGGGGGCAAGCGUUAUCCGGAUUUACUGGGUGUAAAGGGAGCGUAGACGGCAAGGCAAGUCUGAAGUGAAAGCCCGGUGCUUAACGUCGGGACUGCUUUGGAAACUGUUUGGCUGGAGUGCCGGAGAGGUAAGCGGAAUUCCUAGUGUAGCGGUGAAAUGCGUAGAUAUUAGGAAGAACACCAGUGGCGAAGGCGGCUUACUGGACGGUAACUGACGUUGAGGCUCGAAAGCGUGGGGAGCAAACAGG